UAGUGUCGAAGCUAACGCGUUAAGUGAUCCGCCUGGGGAAUACGAUCGCAAGAUUAAAACUCAAAGGAAUUGACGGGGGUCCGCACAAGCGGUGGAACAUGUGGUUUAAUUCGACAAUACGCGAGGAACCUUACCUAGGCUUGACAUGUAUAUGACUACCAUAGAAACAUGGGUCUCUGGAGCUUGCUUCAGACAUAUACACAGGUGCUGCAUGGCUGUCGUCAGCUCGUGUCGUGAGAUGUUGGGUUAAGUCCUUUAACGAGCGCAACCCUUGCCAUCAGUUGCUACUUCGUGAGAAGGCACUCUGGUGGGACUGCCUGGGAAACCAGGAGGAAGGUGGGGAUGACGUCAAGUCCGCAUGGUCCUUAUGCCUAGGGCUACACACGUGUUACAAUGGCCAGUACAAAGGGAAGCGAUACUGUAAGGUGGAGCAAACCCCAUAAAGCUGGUCUAAGUUCGGAUUGAGGUCUGCAACUCGACCUCAUGAAGUUGAAAUCGCUAGUAAUCGCGUAUCAGCAAUGACGCGGUGAAUACGUUCUCGGACCUUGUACACACCGCCCGUCACACCACGAAAGUUGUUUGUACCCGAAACUAUCUAAGCUAACUCGCAAGAGGGGCGGAUAGUGAAGGUGUGGAUGGCAAUUGGGGUGAAGUCGUAACAAGGUAACCAAGGGCGAA
RNAcentral lists this ribosomal RNA (678 nucleotides) under uncultured bacterium. Its description in RNAcentral is "bacterial SSU rRNA". It matches the Rfam family "Bacterial small subunit ribosomal RNA", at positions 841 to 1510 of the family's 1533-position model. The record is from RNAcentral.